RNAcentral lists this ribosomal RNA (274 nucleotides) under uncultured bacterium. RNAcentral's name for it is "partial 16S ribosomal RNA". It matches the Rfam family "Bacterial small subunit ribosomal RNA", at positions 523 to 796 of the family's 1533-position model. The record is from RNAcentral.
AUACGGAGGUUGCAAGCGUUACUCGGAAUCACUGGGCGUAAAGCGCGCGCAGGCGGCUAUUUAAGUUGGAUGUGAAAGCCUAUGGCUCAACCAUAGAACUGCAUCCAAAACUAUUUAGCUAGAGUGUGGGAGAGGAAGAUGGAAUUAGUUGUGUAGGGGUAAAAUCCGUAGAGAUAACUAGGAAUACCAAAAGCGAAGGCAAUCUUCUGGAACACUACUGACGCUGAGGCGCGGAAGCGUGGGGAGCAAACAGGAUUAGAAACCCUAGUAGUCC